UACCUGGUUGAUUCUGCCAGUAGUCAUAUGCUUGUCUCAAAGAUUAAGCCAUGCAUGUCUAAGUAUAAGCAAUUAUACCGCGAAACGGCGAAUGGCUCAUUAUAUAAGUUAUCGUUUAUUUGAUAGCACAUUACUACAUGGAUAACUGUGGUAAUUCUAGAGCUAAUACAUGCUAAAAAUCCCGACUUCGGAAGGGAUGUAUUUAUUAGAUUAAAAGCCAACGCCCUUCGGGGCUUCCUGGUGAUUCAUAAUAACUUUUCGAAUCGCAUGGCCUUGCGCCGGCGAUGGUUCAUUCAAAUUUCUUCCCUAUCAACUUUCGAUGCGAA
RNAcentral lists this ribosomal RNA (326 nucleotides) under Lomentospora prolificans. RNAcentral's name for it is "Scedosporium prolificans Eukaryotic small subunit ribosomal RNA". It matches the Rfam family "Eukaryotic small subunit ribosomal RNA", at positions 1 to 331 of the family's 1831-position model. Lineage: Eukaryota; Fungi; Ascomycota; Sordariomycetes; Microascales; Microascaceae. The record is from Rfam by way of RNAcentral.